Molecule: long non-coding RNA, 231 nt
Organism: Pan troglodytes (chimpanzee)
Lineage: Eukaryota; Metazoa; Chordata; Mammalia; Primates; Hominidae
Exons: 3
Source: RefSeq, a predicted model, not a curated record
CUGUAGCCCUGCAAAAAUGAGCAGAGAACCCAGCCAAGUUGUGACUGGAGACUCCUGACUUGUGGACAAUAAGAGAGGAAAUGUCUUUUGAAAGCUCCACUGACUCCAAGCAGAUUUCUUCCAACAAUUUCUUGCUUCUUGUGAUGUUAGAAGAGCAAUUAUGUUCCUGUGAGCAGCUGAUGGAGGACAUUAUCAACAUGGAAGUACUUCUUUGUGAGAGAACUGUCAGCU